CAUAUACUCCCUCAGUUCCACGAUACAUGUCUUCCAUUUAUCAAAAUAUAGAUGUAUCUAGACAUAUUUUAGUAUAUAAAUACAUCCAUUUUUGGACAAAUGAAAGUCAAGUAUUUUGGAACGGAGGGAGUACACG
Triticum urartu is the source of this 136-nucleotide non-coding RNA. Lineage: Eukaryota; Viridiplantae; Streptophyta; Magnoliopsida; Poales; Poaceae. The record is from Rfam.